GACGAACGCUGGCGGCGUGCCUAAUACAUGCAAGUCGAGCGAAGUUUUUCUGGUGCUUGCACCGGAAAAACUUAGCGGCGAACGGGUGAGUAACACGUAAAGAACCUGCCUCAUAGACUGGGACAACUAUUGGAAACGAUAGCUAAUACCGGAUAAUAGCAUUAACUGCAUGGUUGAUGUUUAAAAGUUGGUUUUGCUAACACUAUGAGAUGGCUUUGCGGUGCAUUAGCUAGUUGGUGGGGUAAAGGCCUACCAAGGCGACGAUGCAUAGCCGACCUGAGAGGGUGAUCGGCCACACUGGGACUGAGACACGGCCCAGACUCCUACGGGAGGCAGCAGUAGGGAAUCUUCCGCAAAGGGCGAAAGCCUGACGGAGCAACGCCGCGUGAGUGAAGAAGGAUUUCGGUUCGUAAAGCUCUGUUGUUAGGGAAGAAUGAUUGUGUAGUAACUAUACACAGUAGUGACGGUACCUAACCAGAAAGCCACGGCUAACUACGUG
This 499-nucleotide ribosomal RNA is filed under the name uncultured bacterium. RNAcentral describes it as "partial 16S ribosomal RNA". It matches the Rfam family "Bacterial small subunit ribosomal RNA", at positions 28 to 507 of the family's 1533-position model. The record is from RNAcentral.